Non-coding RNA from Strongylocentrotus purpuratus (purple sea urchin), 73 nucleotides. Lineage: Eukaryota; Metazoa; Echinodermata; Echinoidea; Camarodonta; Strongylocentrotidae. The record is from Rfam.
GGCAUGGUGGCUCAGUGGUUAGGGCGCCCGCCUCAUGAACUGGAGGUCGUGGGUUCGAACCCCGGCCAAGUCA